GCGUGAAGGAUAACCGCAGAAACCGCCCCCGCGGAUCCGCGGCCGCUGCAGAGUUUGAACCCGGCUCAGGAUGAACGCUGGCGGCAUGCCUAACACAUGCAAGUCGAACGGACACCCUCGGGUGUCAGUGGCGAACGGGUGAGUAACGCGUAGGAAUCUACCCCUGGGAGGGGGAUAACAGCUGGAAACGGCUGCUAAUACCCCAUACAGGCGCAAGCUGAAAGGAGCAAUCCGCCCAGGGAUGAGCCUGCGUCGGAUUAGCUAGUUGGUGGGGUAAUGGCCUACCAAGGCGACGAUCCGUAGCGGGUCUGAGAGGAUGGCCCGCCACACUGGGACUGAGACACGGUCCAGACUUCUACGGGAGGCAGCAGUGGGGAAUUCUCCGCAAUGGGCGAAAGCCUGACGGAGCAAUUCCGUGUGAGGGAAGAAGGCCUUCGGGUCGUAAACCUCUUUCCUGGGGUACGUAGUUCUUACGGUACCCU
RNAcentral lists this ribosomal RNA (482 nucleotides) under uncultured bacterium. Its description in RNAcentral is "bacterial SSU rRNA". It matches the Rfam family "Bacterial small subunit ribosomal RNA", at positions 1 to 481 of the family's 1533-position model. The record is from RNAcentral.